AUACUUGGUGUUCAGCAAAGCAAGAGUCGCUACAGAACCCAUUUUGUUUAAAGGACACGGACCAUGUUCUCAAAUAUAAUGUGUCAGAAAAUGCUGCUAGCGUUCACAUCGUUCUUAGUAAUUACCUGGAUGAUAUUUGUCAUUUCUCAAAAUUCUGCAAAGCUUUGGACCACUCUAAACACAGCCAUAUGUUUCCAUCCCUGGAACACAUCCAUGAAGUCCUCCUGUCCUGAAAUUCCAAUGAGCCAGUCAAAGUUACUACCAGUGAUUAAGCUAGAAGAGGAGAUCCCUAAAAUGACAGGCCACCAACAAGACAAGUCACCAACAGAGACAGAGCUGAAAGUCAGGGAGAUCCUGGAGAAGCUGGAUCGGCAGAUACCUCCCAGACCCUUCACCCACCUCAACUACACCACAAGCGCCACACACAGCACGGCCACCAUCCUCAACCCUCAAGAUACAUACUGUGUGGGGGACCUGCUGGACAUCCUAGUAGAGGCUAGAGACCACCUAGGAAACAGGAAGGGGUAUGGUGGGGACUUCCUGAGGGCCAGGAUGUUCUCCCCAGCCCUGAAGGCAGGAGCUUCUGGAAAGGUGACAGACUUCAACAAUGGCACCUACCUCGUCAGCUUCAUUCUGUUCUGGGAGGGCCCGGUCUCACUGUCUAUUCUGCUCGUGCACCCCAGUGAAGGGGUGUCAGCUCUCUGGAGAGCAAGGAACGAAGGCUACGGCAGAAUUGCUUUCAAAGGUGCUUUUGUUAAUGGCACGUCCCAGGUCACAGCUGAAUGUGGCCUGAUACUAGAGUCAAGCAGUGAGCUAUGCAAAUACCUGUACCGUGGUGGUGAGGAAGUCUUCUACUGCAUGAAACCUCAACACAUUCCCUGUGAGGCCCUGACCCAUGUGUGUACCAGGCAGCAAGGUGUUUCUUAUCUCACUGCCAAAGAAAAAGACCUUUUUCAGAACCUGAGCAAUCCUGCUAAGAAGUCAGCUCCCACCAGGCAUCAGCUCAUCUCCUGAGCAGGUUUGGCACAUGGGCCCUUCUUUGGGUAGAAGACUCCUCCAUUCUCCUCAAGUUGUGGCCUAGCAGUUCCUGGAAGCCCUCAGCUGCACAGGCUCCCCAAACCUAGUUGCCAGCAUGCCUCCUCCUGUCAAUCAAGGCCCUAAGACACCUAUCAGGUCCAACAUAGGAGUUGAAAUGAUGAAGAACCCAAAGUCUAUUGCUGUCUCCCAAUGCAACAAGAGUGAGAACGUGAGAAAGAAAUGUGAGUUUGGAAUGGAGGUUCCCACACCUAGCGGCUACACUUUCCAAGGAAGGUGGGUGUCGGCACAGUGCACCCAGCGCCUGCUAAACUCAAGUCAGAUAAACGACUGUCUGAAAAGGAAACUCAUUUACCUCCUGGGAGACUCCACGCUGCGCCAAUGGAUCGAGUACUUUCCCAAGGUUGCACAAACAUUGAAGCCUUUUGACCUUCAUGGGACUGGACUGUAUAAGAAACAUGUGCUUUUGGAUGCUGAAAGACACAUACUGGUUGAAUGGAAGAAACACAGCCACCCUUUCAUUACUGUGCAGCUCUACUCUGUGAUAGAUGAUGGCUAUAUCCCUCAGGAAAUUGACCGCUUACCAGGUGACAAAGAUACUGUCAUAGUCAUUACCUUGGGCCAGCACUUCAGACCCUUCCCAAUGGAACUCUUCAUUCAUAGAGCCAUCAGUAUCCAAAAGGCUAUCGAACGGCUCUUCCUCAGAAGCCCUGAUACUAAAGUCAUCAUUAAGACAGAAAAUGUUAGGGAGAUGAACCUGGAUACGGAAAAGUUCGGAGACUUCCACGGUCUUAUUCAGUAUCUAACUGCAAAGGAGAUUUUCAAAGGCCUGCAUGUGGGUACCAUUGAUGCCUGGGACAUGACCAUUGCGUGUGGUUCCAGUAAUCUCCAUCCACCUGAUGGCGUGAUUAGACAGCAGAUUGACGUGUUUUUAAACUACAUUUGCUAAAGAUACAUCACUAGGAGCCAAUGUCUCCAGCCAUGUA
RNAcentral lists this long non-coding RNA (2021 nucleotides) under Mus musculus (house mouse). Its description in RNAcentral is "predicted gene, 67490". The record is from RNAcentral. Lineage: Eukaryota; Metazoa; Chordata; Mammalia; Rodentia; Muridae.